GUUCCACUCCUCAGGUUAUACACAACUGGGAGAAAUCAGGUCCAGGCCAGAGUUUUUUGGAACUGUCUCCAACCCACUGCUCAGCUGCAGAUAAUCAGCUGUAGCAGUGGGAAUAAAACCCUCCCUGCUAGGCAGGUAAAGGGUGAUUGCUGGCUUCCUCCCUGGAAGCAGGUAGGAGAGAGGCUGUUCUCUCCAGUGAGAGAGUCAAGGAGACUGAGCACUGGGAGUGCAGAAGGAAAGCAGUCAAGGCUGGCUUGGAGCACUGGGAGCGCAGAAGGAAGCAGUCAAGGCUGGCUUGGAGCACUGGGAGUGCAGAAAGGAAAGGAGUUAAGGUUGGCUUGGAGCACUGGGAGUGCAGAAAGGAAAGCAGUUAAGGCUGGCUUGGAGCACUGGGAGUGUAGAAAGGAAAGCAACAGGCUGACUAAGCCCUGGAGUGC
Pelobates cultripes (western spadefoot toad) is the source of this 437-nucleotide non-coding RNA. Lineage: Eukaryota; Metazoa; Chordata; Amphibia; Anura; Pelobatidae. The record is from the annotation of a GenBank genome assembly.